GAUCCUGGCCUCAUAUUGAACGCUGGCGGCAUGCCUUACACAUGCAAGUCGAACGGCAGCGCGGACUUCGGUCUGGCGGCGAGUGGCGAACGGGUGAGUAAUACAUCGGAACGUACCCUGUUGUGGGGGAUAACUAGUCGAAAGAUUAGCUAAUACCGCAUACGACCUGAGGGUGAAAGUGGGGGACCGCAAGGCCUCACGCAGCAGGAGCGGCCGAUGUCUGAUUAGCUAGUUGGUGGGGUAAAGGCCCACCAAGGCGACGAUCAGUAGCUGGUCUGAGAGGACGAUCAGCCACACUGGGACUGAGACACGGCCCAGACUCCUACGGGAGGCAGCAGUGGGGAAUUUUGGACAAUGGGGGCAACCCUGAUCCAGCAAUGCCGCGUGUGUGAAGAAGGCCUUCGGGUUGUAAAGCACUUUUGUCCGGAAAGGAAUCGCGCUGGUUAAUACCUGGCGUGGAUGACGGUACCGGAAGAAUAAGCACCGGCUAACUACGUGCCAGCAGCCGCGGUAAUACGUAGGGUGCGAGCGUUAAUCGGAAUUACUGGGCGUAAAGCGUGCGCAGGCGGUUUUGUAAGACAGGCGUGAAAUCCCCGGGCUUAACCUGGGUAUUGCGCUUGUGACUGCAAGGCUAGAGUGCGUCAGAGGGGGGUAGAAUCCCGCGUGUAGCAGUGAAAUGCGUAAAGAUGUGCAAGAAUACCGGAUGGCAAAUGUCUCCCCCUGGGACGUGGACUGACGCUCAUGCUCGGAAGCGUGGGGGAGCAAAUCGGAAUAGAUACCCUGGUAGGCCCCGCCCUAAACGAUGUCCACCUUGGUGUUGCGCAUUCCUCUUCUCCCGAACAGAUGCGUACCCGGUGAAAAUGACCCCCUCUGUGGACCGACUCCCACGAUUAAAUUUCUAGGAGUGUAUCGGAGGGCUACCCUG
Molecule: ribosomal RNA, 925 nt
Filed under: uncultured bacterium
Lineage: Bacteria
Description: partial 16S ribosomal RNA
Rfam family: Bacterial small subunit ribosomal RNA
Source: RNAcentral